UGGAUGUUCUCGGACGUUCAAAGC
Molecule: microRNA, 24 nt
Filed under: Caenorhabditis elegans
Lineage: Eukaryota; Metazoa; Nematoda; Chromadorea; Rhabditida; Rhabditidae
Description: cel-miR-238-5p
Gene: cel-miR-238-5p
Source: miRBase by way of RNAcentral